GAUGAACGCUGGCGGCGUGCCUAAUACAUGCAAGUCGAGCGAACAGACGAGGAGCUUGCUCCUCUGACGUUAGCGGCGGACGGGUGAGUAACACGUGGAUAACCUACCUAUAAGACUGGGAUAACUUCGGGAAACCGGAGCUAAUACCGGAUAAUAUAUUGAACCGCACGGUUCAAUAGUGAAAGACGGUUUUGCUGUCACUUAUAGAUGGAUCCGCGCCGCAUUAGCUAGUUGGUAAGGUAACGGCUUACCAAGGCAACGAUGCGUAGCCGACCUGAGAGGGUGAUCGGCCACACUGGAACUGAGACACGGUCCAGACUCCUACGGGAGGCAGCAGUAGGGAAUCUUCCGCAAUGGGCGAAAGCCUGACGGAGCAACGUCGCGUGAGUGAUGAAGGUCUUCGGAUCGUAAAACUCUGUUAUUAGGGAAGAACAAAUGUGUAAGUAACUAUGCACGUCUUGACGGUACCUAAUCAGAAAGCCACGGCUAACUACGUG
Molecule: ribosomal RNA, 497 nt
Filed under: uncultured bacterium
Lineage: Bacteria
Description: partial 16S ribosomal RNA
Rfam family: Bacterial small subunit ribosomal RNA
Source: RNAcentral